This 1050-nucleotide ribosomal RNA is filed under the name Salmonella enterica subsp. enterica. RNAcentral's name for it is "partial 23S ribosomal RNA". It matches the Rfam family "Bacterial large subunit ribosomal RNA", at positions 711 to 1760 of the family's 2925-position model. Lineage: Bacteria; Pseudomonadati; Pseudomonadota; Gammaproteobacteria; Enterobacterales; Enterobacteriaceae. The record is from RNAcentral.
AGACCCGAAACCCGGUGAUCUAGCCAUGGGCAGGUUGAAGGUUGGGUAACACUAACUGGAGGACCGAACCGACUAAUGUUGAAAAAUUAGCGGAUGACCUGUGGCUGGGGGUGAAAGGCCAAUCAAACCGGGAGAUAGCUGGUUCUCCCCGAAAGCUAUUUAGGUAGCGCCUCGUGAAUUCAUCUCCGGGGGUAGAGCACUGUUUCGGCUAGGGGGCCAUCCCGGCUUACCAACCCGAUGCAAACUGCGAAUACCGGAGAAUGUUAUCACGGGAGACACACGGCGGGUGCUAACGUCCGUCGUGAAGAGGGAAACAACCCAGACCGCCAGCUAAGGUCCCAAAGUCAUGGUUAAGUGGGAAACGAUGUGGGAAGGCCCAGACAGCCAGGAUGUUGGCUUAGAAGCAGCCAUCAUUUAAAGAAAGCGUAAUAGCUCACUGGUCGAGUCGGCCUGCGCGGAAGAUGUAACGGGGCUAAACCAUGCACCGAAGCUGCGGCAGCGACGCUGAUGCGUUGUUGGGUAGGGGAGCGUUCUGUAAGCCUGCGAAGGUGGCCUGUGAGGGUUGCUGGAGGUAUCAGAAGUGCGAAUGCUGACAUAAGUAACGAUAAAGCGGGUGAAAAGCCCGCUCGCCGGAAGACCAAGGGUUCCUGUCCAACGUUAAUCGGGGCAGGGUGAGUCGACCCCUAAGGCGAGGCCGAAAGGCGUAGUCGAUGGGAAACGGGUUAAUAUUCCCGUACUUGGUGUUACUGCGAAGGGGGGACGGAGAAGGCUAUGUUGGCCGGGCGACGGUUGUCCCGGUUUAAGCGUGUAGGCUGGUUUUCCAGGCAAAUCCGGAAAAUCAAGGCUGAGGCGUGACGACGAGGCACUACGGUGCUGAAGCAACAAAUGCCCUGCUUCCAGGAAAAGCCUCUAAGCAUCAGGUAACAUCAAAUCGUACCCCAAACCGACACAGGUGGUCAGGUAGAGAAUACCAAGGCGCUUGAGAGAACUCGGGUGAAGGAACUAGGCAAAAUGGUGCCGUAACUUCGGGAGAAGGCACGCUGACAUGUA